AACCCUAAUCUCUUCUCUCUCGCGCAAGACCGACGAUCUCCUUCUGAGCCCUUUCAUCUUCUUCCGUUAGUCGUUCACGUUUUGUCAUUCAAUCCACCAUCAAACCUUAGGCUGAGACGAUGAAUAUCUUCUGCCUCUCCUAUCUUUGUCGUUUCCGCUACUCCAUCCCUGUGUCUUUAUAAAUUAAACAUUUUAAAGCCUCUUAUGCUCUUUGACAAAAAAAAAGGUCUCUUAAGCUCCCACGAACAGGUCCUGUAACACUACCGUCGAAACUUUGUGUUCUCAGAUUUUGCAAGGUCGGGAAUCGGGAUGUGAUCAGAAAUGGCAAGCUUAUGGGGUCGGUCUACUUCUUCUUGACGCUAAGCUUAUGCAGGCCCGGAUUGCAAAUCUUUAACGAGUCAUAUGAUUAUGAACUGACGUGAUCAAAUCAGAAGCCAAUCUAAUCCCAUGAGAUCUUCCCGUAAGGGUCAAUACCUAUGGCCCAGAUUGCAAAUUUUUAAAAGAAAGUUGUUCAAGUAGAUGUCAAAGGUACCUCUUUUCAUUAAGUU
Molecule: long non-coding RNA, 548 nt
Organism: Brassica oleracea var. oleracea
Lineage: Eukaryota; Viridiplantae; Streptophyta; Magnoliopsida; Brassicales; Brassicaceae
Exons: 3
Source: RefSeq, a predicted model, not a curated record